RNAcentral lists this unclassified non-coding RNA (1527 nucleotides) under Hevea brasiliensis (rubber tree). The record is from RNAcentral. Lineage: Eukaryota; Viridiplantae; Streptophyta; Magnoliopsida; Malpighiales; Euphorbiaceae.
GAGCACAACAAGUGGAUCAUGUGUUAUGGCAUGCCCAUCCACCAUAUUAAUGGGGAGCAUAUUUCCAUCUCUGUCAAUGGUGUUUACAAGAGUCUCAUCCCCAUCCAGCCAUAUUUGGGCAACAUCAAGUCCUGCUUUUACCAGACCCCCUGGGUUGUUCCUUAAAUCCAGAAUGUAUGAAUGUACACCUUGUGUUUCCAUUUCAUGUAUUGCAUUUGCCAUAUCAUCAGCAGCACUCUGAGAGAAAUUUGACAGCUUCACAUAACCGGUCUUUAUUUGACGGCCAUCUGGUGUUCUAUGUGGGAUGAUAGAGCUGGCUAUUGGGGAUAGCUUAAUGUACUCACGAGGCAAUUUGACCUCUUUGGUACUACAAUCACUUUUCGAAUCUUGCACGCUGUGGACUUUUACUGUAACAGAUGUUCCAACUUGCCCUCUAAGCUUCCGUGCUGCAGCUUCACUAUCAAGACCAUCAAGCCUCUCCCCAUUAAUCUCAAUCAAUUCAUCUCCUUCAUGUAUGCCAGCACGAGAAGCUGGGCUACCCUCUACACAAGACAAAACAACCAAAUGGCCGGACUUUGGUUCAUUAUUUAUAAAAAUUCCAACUCCUUGCAAAUUACCAUCAUUUCCAAUUCUAAAACUCUGGUACUCCUGCAAUUUAGAAACUAAACCAUGUCAGCAUGAUUAUAGAUGUAUCAUUUCAAUAUAGAUCUUUUUGAAUAAAAAGAAGCCAUUUUUUGAGCAUAAAAAAUAAUGGGAACUAAGAAUGAAAAUGAUAUCAUUUUUGCCACGACUGUUGUUUUUCAGCCAGAGUUGCAUGCAGCUGCCAGCCUAAAUCAACAUAAAAUUGACAUGAGAAGAAAGAAUUAAAUGAUAAUAAUAAUUACUGUAACACACGUUUGGACUUAUAAUCCGAGUAAAAGGAUCCCCAAGAGUAGAAAGCAUUCCUUUGAUUUUUGUAUACGCAGCAUCUGCUGAAUUCAAAGGAAACAUUUCCACCAUAGUUUGCUGCAAUUUUAAAUCCCAAUCUUGAUGGUUAAAAGUUGGGUCCACAAAUGUUUCUCUAAUCAAACCCCAAGCCUCCACAAGCGUUCUUUGAACUGUAUUCACCUCCCGAGCUCGGGAAACAGGAAAAGCGACCGUUAAAGACUCAGCAAACGCGGGAGAGUCACAACAAAGCGAGGCUAGAGCUGCAGCGGCGGCGGCAAAACCAAUAAAACCUUUUCCGACGGAUCUGAUGAAAUCUGGAGCAUUGGAUUGGGGUCUGGACACCGUCGUCUUAGCGGUGUGAUGAGAGGAAGCACAGUAGAGGCUCCAUUUUCUGGAUACAUUAAGCCUAAUCGAGGUAGAAAUCCGAGGAGGAGAGAAGAGAGGCAGCAAAGCAGGUUUCGAAGGCGCCGUUGAGAUCGGAGAGAGAUCGAAAUUUGAGCACAGAGGCUCCAUCAAUUGUUUGCUGGGAAGGGGAAUUCAAUUUGUGAAGCAAAUUCAAAAAGUGAACUAGUUAGCAGCUUUUUUUUUUUUUUUUUUUUU